This 358-nucleotide long non-coding RNA is filed under the name Elaeis guineensis (African oil palm). RNAcentral's name for it is "long non-coding RNA (EGUI_LNC077264)". Lineage: Eukaryota; Viridiplantae; Streptophyta; Magnoliopsida; Arecales; Arecaceae. The record is from RNAcentral.
GAUUGAAGAAAUGUUAAUUGUAAUUAUGCAAGAUUUUAUGAAUUAUUAUUGAAAUUAAUUAUUAUGGAUGUUAAAGUUGUAGUGAUUUAAUUUGGCCUUGCAUAUUCUUUAGGGCUUACUCUAAGGAGUGUGCGGCCAUCACGUAUCCGACCCGGGUGUUGGGUUCGGGGUGUGACAGAAUGGUAUCAGAGCAUAGGUUAUGAUCAUUAGGGAUUAUGAUAUAAGUGAUUAGAAUAUUACAGAGUGAUAUUAGAGCUUCGGUUAUGAUCAUUGGAGAUUACGAUAUAAAUGAUUAGGAUGUGAUAGAAUAAUAUCAUAGCUCAGGUUUAAGAUCACCAGAGAUUAUGAAGAGAUAUUA